CGCACGGAGAUUUGAGUCCGAGUCUUCCGAAUGGCAGUACGCAAUGGUCCUCGGCUACCGCGGCCGUAUAUACGAUUAUGUAAUUAUGCGUACAUGUAUGUAUUUCCUUAAGCUCGAUUUGAUUUUGUGCUUGUAAUUUUAAGCAGAAAUUUAAGGAGAUCUUAUUAGGAAUCGUGUAAAUACUACUUUAUACGCGGUAAAUAUGAAGAAGACCUAAGAAACGGAAACGGAAAUAGAGGACGAACAUCAGAAGGAAAAGUUGGUGCAAAAAACUGGAACGAAAUUUGAGUUGCAUUAUAAAGAAUUAAUGACACAAAUUAAAAUAUCAUUUAUAGCAAAGGUUAUGGUCAUACCUAUAAAAUUAUGAAGUCUGUACUAAUAAGAAUGUAAGCCCCAGCAUUUGUAUUUGACAUUUUUCCCGGCAGAUUAGCUGUCUUUUUAUAUGUACAUAUGUAUUUGAGUUGCAUAGAAUUUGAAAAUUGGAAAAACCCAGUUUACUUGUUCCAAAUGCAGCAAAGGAAAAUACGAGAGAAACCACGGCAAAACUCAAUACCAAAAUUUUCCAGCGAGUGAAAAGCUUGGAAAAGGAAAUUGACAGAAAGCAAAAAUUACGGCUAAGAGAAAUGUAUGGACUGACAGUAACAAAAGCAGCGAGAACUCUUCAUCGCCCGAAUGCGUAAGGAGCUUAUAUUGAAAACAAACGAGCGAGUUGUGGGUGGUGAUGAGAGUCGGUCAGGUGGAAACAGCGCUGUGAAGGAAACAAAUGAACUUAUGCUUGUUUUUUGUUGCUAUUCUCUCUAUGCAUGGACACUUAUGACUAUAUGUUUUCAUUUUCAUUUUCAUUCAAUGCAAAAAACGAGAUACUCUUAAAUAAACUGACUGUGUAUACAUACUAUGUGUAUACAUAUAUUCUUUUAUACAUACAUACAUUUGUAUGUACAUAUGCCUAUACAAAUAUACAUAUAUGAAAAUGUACAUGAAAGUAAAAAGGCAGCAAGUCAGCAUUCUAUCAGGCCAUAACAUAUACAGACUAGCGCGUAUAAAGCACGGAGAAAAUGUGUACACGCCACAGGAAAAAGUAUUAUAAAAAAGAAAAUACAAAUAAUGAACUAAACAUUUAGAAAAAUAUAAGGACUUUGUACAACUUCGAGCAAACAUACAAAUAAAUGGCUUAUUACUUCCGCGUUGACCAAUUAUUAAUUAAAACCCAUUUUGAAUAUGAACAUAUAUUCAGAACGAAAAGUUUUCCUCGCUGGAAAAUUCAUUGAAAAAGUGGAGCAGUGAACUAAAAUAGAUUAAACUUGCGUACAGAAAUAUUAAUAUUUAGUGCGGUAUUAAGUAUACGCGUGUCGUAAGCACAUUUGGAAAAAUAUUAUAUUGUAUAUAAAAAAAAUAGAAGCACAGAAAUAUGUGAGAAUAUUGAAAAGGCUGUUUCUGAAUAUCCAAAGCAUUUCAACGAGCAGUAACGUUUUCAAUCGGGACAGAGACGAUUGAACUGGCAGUUCAUAUGCCAUGCAUGCAUGUUUGUUCAUACAUACAUACUCGUAUGUAUGUUCAUAUAUGGAUGUAAUGAAAGUGUAUACAUACAUACAUAUGUAAAUACUCCUAAUUUUACUAUUAGUACUUGUGAAACACAUACUAAGUACACUGCAAAAUAAAUCAAAAGGAGAUUGCGCUUUCUAUGCAAAUGUUUAUCGUGUCUAACAAAUUAAUCAAGUCAAUGUUAAAAUAUUUAUGUAUAUUAAGCAGAGUAUGGAGCCAUUCGACGAGUUCUUAAAAAAUUAGUUGGUGUGUAUGUAAGAUUGAUAUCCUCGCUAAUGCAUUAUGGACUUUGCCAUCUCACUGGUGCAGCUACCGGUCAUUUAACUAUACAUUUAAUGUACAUAUGUACAUACAUAAGUCUGUAUGUGCCUACAGUUAUUCAUAUGUGAAGCUACUUUUCAUCUCCUAAAUGUGAUUAACUUGAAUAAAAAUCAUAAUCUGCGGGCUCUAUUUCCAAUUCGUCAUCUUAGUGGAGGACAAUGUUGCUGAAUCUUCUCAGGUGCAUGCACCUCUCCCAGAGCUUUGUAUAAAUUUUUCGUUAAAUUUUACUUGCGUGUGCUUUCGUUUCGACUUUCGUACUUUAUUUUAAAAUAUGUAUUAUAUACACAUACAUAUGUACAUGUUUGGGUGUUUCAUGUGUGCUGAAUUAAAAACAGAGGUGACAGAAUGAAGAAUAAAGGAAAUAUUAAACCUGCAAAUUACCGCGAAAUUUAUGCAUAUACACAUGUAUAUGUAUUAAAAUAUAUCAAAAAUUUACGCAUAUUUAUGUACACACAUAUAUAUAUAUAUAGAAUUAACAAAUGAGCCCAAUAAUCCCAACAAGCUGUUGAGCAAAUUGCCACAGCUCUGUCGCACACAAUUUCCAUGCUGCUUUGGUAAUAAGAGAGAAAACUUUUUUUUAGCAAUUUUCGAAAAAUCUUUUAAAACCAAAAACGAUGCAGGUAACCUGAGAAAUGAAAAUAGAAAAUUUGUAUAAAUACUUGCCGACCGCAGUGGGCGAGUGGUUAGCAUAGCGCACUAAUAUUUGAAUGGCCAGAGUUCGCGUCCUGGUCCCACCAACGUCUGAGAUUAUAGAUAAUUAUGUUUUUUCAAUGGCACUGGCGCCUUGGCAGGGAAGCCCUCCCUCCAUAUGUAUUUCUGACAUGAUAAAAAAAGCUCUAUUUAAUGCAAAAACAAAGACUUAAAAACCUGUGCUCUGCUGAAAAUAGCUUCGCAAAUAAAAUGUUUUUAAAAUGCUUUUUUUUUAUGAAAGUCCCUUUUAUUAUAAAGUUUGAACCUUUGAAUUAUAUGUGAAAUACUACAUCUUUGCAAGCUUCGAUCCGUUUGAGGCCAAUUGAAAUCGCCCAGACGCGGUAAGAAAGUCGAAGCUCUCGAGAAUGUCGAGAAGUAAACACGUCGGAUACACUUUCACCUACAGUGGCGAUAUUUGAGGUGGAACGGACUAUUCUCAUAAAUGCCUGACUUUUAACUAAUUCAAGGCAUGUUUCGUUUGACAGAUGCUGAAAUACAGCUCUGUACUUUGGAAACAACGAAAUGGAUGCUCCUAUAUAUACAAACAUAUAUGAAUAUACAUAUAUACUCAUAUUUGCGGCUAUAAAUUAUAUUUCAUAGCAAGAGACAAAAGCAAUGAUUUGAUAUACAUAUGUACAUACAUAUGUAUGCAUUUGAAUUGUUCAGUUAAUUAAUUUUCUAUUUAUGUUUAAUAAAUUUGACAUGCUCACGUUUCCCAAAAUAAAAAAGAAAGAGAAAGAGAUUAACUUUAUGAUUCAACUUAAAGCAAAAGGAGGUUUUUCUGAAUAGUUUUAUUAAUAAAUUAACAUGAUAAUUAGACAAAUUAACAAAUAAAGCCACUAAAUUCCACCCCCCUCCACAUAUCAUCAAUGCCUUGCCCACAAAUGGAGUAAAAUGCAAAUUCUAAGAGUUCAUGUGCCAAUGCGAACAAAUCUAUGUGCGAUGGUAUGUGUCCACCCUACCAAAAUAGCACAGCAACAGCAGUCAAGUGGCACAUACGAGUAUAUAUAUGUAUGCGCAUACUACUGUACAUAUUUAGAUAGGCAUAGUACGUGACCCAUUAAAUUGAAUUCCUGUGUAUUAAGUAUAAGUAACCCACAACAUGUCCGAGCUCUAAAUUAAAAAGCAAAAACUAAAAUACAUAUGUAUAAACAAGAUAUAAAAACAAUCGAAAACUCAAUUGCAGAUAGCAAAACAGAGAAACAGGAAACACAAAGAAAAUACAUGCAACAAGCUGUAUUAAAGACGUGCAAUGGUCCAUGGACUCAUACCACAAUAAUACGAUAUCACAUCACCCACACCACUACCUAUAAUAACAGCCAGCCAUCACAACAAACCAGCCGUUGCUGCUUGCCAUCAGCGUGUCAUCGAAAGAAAUAUAAGCUUGCAUCGCAACCACAGUGGACUAGACCAAUAUAUAGGCAAAUCUACCAAGUUCCAUAGGCCCAAGCAAAGCUACUAACCUAACAGCCAACCGGCCAAGAGAACAACACAAUCAUUCAGCGCCAAAUACGGUGACGUAUUUUACAAAAAAAUGAAUGCCAGUCUCAUUUACGAAAUCCUCAUGUAUUUGAAUUCGUUUUACUUUGGCAUGUACGCCGUAUUUGAGAUUGGUGUCGGCGUUCUGAAGGCAGUCGGAUUGAAUUAUACUUCGAAUGAGUUGACGCGAGAGGGAUGUAUAUUGCUCGCAUUGUGCAUCGUAGAAACAAUACGAAUUGUAUUGGGUCGGAAGAGCAGUUUAAGCGAUCGAGGCUGGCAAGCGAUAACAUCAGUAGUAUUAACACUGCCCAGUCUUGCUCUUGUAAUCUAUUUAUGUUUGUUUCAAACCUACGUUCUCAAACUCGAGAUAAUUCUGAGUGCCUUAAUGAUAGCCCUCCAAGGUGCUGAACUAGUGUACGCCGGUGUCUUCGUAUGCACCAUGUUUGGCGAUGUUACGUAUACCUAGCAGUCGAUAAGAAUUUAUGUAAAAAUGUUAAAGAUCCAAUUGAAUGAAUAUCCCGUCUGAAGCUACACACACCAACACACACAUCUCGUCGAUAAUGUCGAAGAAGUAGUCAUAUUUAUCGCUCUACGAAAAUUGAGACGAAAUGUGAGCAGAAACAUAUUCUUGUACCGAUUCCGAUGCAGCAAAGGUAUUUAGCAAAAAUGUGUUGUAAAUUUAGCUGGUUACCAACAACUCAUAACAAUGUACACACGACAGCAAGAUGACAAUGAUGUGUUUUACCAACAAGAUAACAGUAUAGUAUUUUAUUUCAAACCAUUACAACAAACUCAAAAAUACAAUAACAGUAUGAAAGUGCAUAGGAAUCUUAACGGUUAACAUAAGAAAGCAAGCUGGAGAUGACAAAUCGUUAGAUCAGAAAAGACUGAUCGAAAUCUAAUACUUCACGUUAUAUGACUGGCGCUUUUCGCAGAUUUUUUCACGUCGAAAUUUCAACAAAAACAACUUGAAUUCCCCACCUUGUUGGCAAGUUAUUUUAUCCGUUUUUCUAACUGUGCCUUGCUUUUUCGGUGUCGCUUACAUACUGCUACUACAAGAAUAUAAACUUCGUCUGG
RNA transcript from Ceratitis capitata (Mediterranean fruit fly), 5109 nucleotides. RefSeq lists it as uncharacterized. The record is from RefSeq and is a predicted model, not a curated record. The transcript is spliced from 3 exons. Lineage: Eukaryota; Metazoa; Arthropoda; Insecta; Diptera; Tephritidae.